GAUGAACGCUGGCGGCGUGCCUAAUACAUGCAAGUCGAGCGAACAGACGAGGAGCUUGCUCCUCUGACGUUAGCGGCGGACGGGUGAGUAACACGUGGAUAACCUACCUAUAAGACUGGGAUAACUUCGGGAAACCGGAGCUAAUACCGGAUAAUAUAUUGAACCGCAUGGUUCAAUAGUGAAAGACGGUUUUGCUGUCACUUAUAGAUGGAUCCGCGCCGCAUUAGCUAGUUGGUAAGGUAACGGCUUACCAAGGCAACGAUGCGUAGCCGACCUUAGAGGGUGAUCGGCCACACUGGAACUGAGACACGGUCCAGACUCCUACGGGAGGCAGCAGUAGGGAAUCUUCCGCAAUGGGCGAAAGCCUGACGGAGCAACGCCGCGUGAAUGAUGAAGGUCUUCGGAUCGUAAAACUCUGUUAUUAGGGAAGAACAAAUGUGUAAGUAACUAUGCACGUCUUGACGGUACCUAAUCAGAAAGCCACGGCUAACUACGUG
RNAcentral lists this ribosomal RNA (497 nucleotides) under uncultured bacterium. RNAcentral's name for it is "partial 16S ribosomal RNA". It matches the Rfam family "Bacterial small subunit ribosomal RNA", at positions 28 to 507 of the family's 1533-position model. The record is from RNAcentral.